RNAcentral lists this ribosomal RNA (119 nucleotides) under Pteropus alecto (black flying fox). The record is from RNAcentral. Lineage: Eukaryota; Metazoa; Chordata; Mammalia; Chiroptera; Pteropodidae.
AUCUACCGCCAUGCCACCCUGAACAAGCCCGAACCCGUCUGACUGUGGAAGCUAAGCAGAGUUGGGCCUGAUUAGUACUUGGAUGGGAGACCACCUAGGAAGACCAGGUGCUGUGGGUG